RNAcentral lists this transfer-messenger RNA (356 nucleotides) under Candidatus Roizmanbacteria bacterium RIFCSPLOWO2_01_FULL_44_13. RNAcentral's name for it is "partial transfer-messenger RNA". It matches the Rfam family "transfer-messenger RNA". Rfam says of the family: Bacterial tmRNA, also known as 10Sa RNA or SsrA, is named for its dual tRNA and mRNA-like properties. Lineage: Bacteria; Candidatus Roizmaniibacteriota. The record is from RNAcentral.
UUUUAUAAAUCGUUGGGGCGCACCUGUGCGUUAAACGGAAAACAAUAACUGAUAAGCAAUUGUCAGAUUUUCAAGAAGCUAGCUUGGCAAGAUCAUAUGCAAAUAUGAACUUUGCUUACGUUAACUGAUUGAACUCUCUUUAGAUUUCUUCCGAUUCAAUCUAUCUGAGGGAUAAACCAAUCGGAAUAAGGUCUUAAAAAGUAACCAGUUGUAUUUAAGAUCGACAAGCUUAAUUGGCUUCUUGGUCCGAUUUGAUUAUUUAAGCGGCCAAGACAGAGUAAAAAUAAUCUAACCCCAACUAAACAUUUAUAUCGGUGUUUUCUCGGACGCGGGUUCAAUUCCCGCCAUCUCCACAC